This 77-nucleotide small nucleolar RNA is filed under the name Camarhynchus parvulus. RNAcentral describes it as "Small nucleolar RNA U105B (ENSCPVG00000018359.1)". It matches the Rfam family "Small nucleolar RNA U105B". The record is from RNAcentral. Lineage: Eukaryota; Metazoa; Chordata; Aves; Passeriformes; Thraupidae.
CCGGAAGUGGCUGAUGACACCAAAAUUCCUGAAUUUCCGUGAUUUGGGAUCAAAGUAAACGCUCUGACACUUCCGGG